RNAcentral lists this ribosomal RNA (677 nucleotides) under Bacillus sp. (in: firmicutes). Its description in RNAcentral is "bacterial SSU rRNA". It matches the Rfam family "Bacterial small subunit ribosomal RNA", at positions 56 to 716 of the family's 1533-position model. The record is from RNAcentral. Lineage: Bacteria; Bacillati; Bacillota; Bacilli; Caryophanales; Bacillaceae.
UGCAAGUCGAGCGGACAGAAGGGAGCUUGCUCCCGGAUGUUAGCGGCGGACGGGUGAGUAACACGUGGGUAACCUGCCUGUAAGACUGGGAUAACUCCGGGAAACCGGAGCUAAUACCGGAUAGUUCCUUGAACCGCAUGGUUCAAGGAUGAAAGACGGUUUCGGCUGUCACUUACAGAUGGACCCGCGGCGCAUUAGCUAGUUGGUGAGGUAACGGCUCACCAAGGCGACGAUGCGUAGCCGACCUGAGAGGGUGAUCGGCCACACUGGGACUGAGACACGGCCCAGACUCCUACGGGAGGCAGCAGUAGGGAAUCUUCCGCAAUGGACGAAAGUCUGACGGAGCAACGCCGCGUGAGUGAUGAAGGUUUUCGGAUCGUAAAGCUCUGUUGUUAGGGAAGAACAAGUGCAAGAGUAACUGCUUGCACCUUGACGGUACCUAACCAGAAAGCCACGGCUAACUACGUGCCAGCAGCCGCGGUAAUACGUAGGUGGCAAGCGUUGUCCGGAAUUAUUGGGCGUAAAGGGCUCGCAGGCGGUUUCUUAAGUCUGAUGUGAAAGCCCCCGGCUCAACCGGGGAGGGUCAUUGGAAACUGGGAAACUUGAGUGCAGAAGAGGAGAGUGGAAUUCCACGUGUAGCGGUGAAAUGCGUAGAGAUGUGGAGGAACACCAGUGGC